RNAcentral lists this transfer RNA (85 nucleotides) under Retzia capensis. RNAcentral describes it as "transfer RNA-Leu". It matches the Rfam family "tRNA". Rfam says of the family: Transfer RNA (tRNA) molecules are approximately 80 nucleotides in length. Their secondary structure includes four short double-helical elements and three loops (D, anti-codon, and T loops). RNAcentral also lists the same sequence under 8 other names. The record is from RNAcentral. Lineage: Eukaryota; Viridiplantae; Streptophyta; Magnoliopsida; Lamiales; Stilbaceae.
GGGGAUAUGGCGAAAUCGGUAGACGCUACGGACUUGGAAAAUCCGUCGACUUUAUAAAUCGUGAGGGUUCAAGUCCCUCUAUCCC